RNAcentral lists this ribosomal RNA (119 nucleotides) under Helianthus annuus (common sunflower). Lineage: Eukaryota; Viridiplantae; Streptophyta; Magnoliopsida; Asterales; Asteraceae. The record is from RNAcentral.
GGUUGCGAUCAUACCAGCAGUAAUGCACCGGAUCCCAUCAGAACUCCGCAGUUAAGCGUGCUUGGGCGAGAGUAGUACUAGGAUGGGUGACCCCCUGGGAAGUCCUCGUGUUGCAUCCC